RNAcentral lists this ribosomal RNA (425 nucleotides) under uncultured bacterium. RNAcentral describes it as "partial 16S ribosomal RNA". It matches the Rfam family "Bacterial small subunit ribosomal RNA", at positions 354 to 796 of the family's 1533-position model. The record is from RNAcentral.
GUGGGGAAUAUUGGACAAUGGGCGAAAGCCUGAUCCAGCAAUGCCGCGUGAGUGAUGAAGGCCUUAGGGUUGUAAAGCUCUUUUACCAGGGAUGAUAAUGACAGUACCUGGAGAAUAAGCUCCGGCUAACUCCGUGCCAGCAGCCGCGGUAAUACGGAGGGAGCUAGCGUUGUUCGGAAUUACUGGGCGUAAAGCGCACGUAGGCGGCUACUCAAGUCAGAGGUGAAAGCCCGGGGCUCAACCCCGGAACUGCCUUUGAAACUAGGUAGCUAGAAUCUUGGAGAGGUCAGUGGAAUUCCGAGUGUAGAGGUGAAAUUCGUAGAUAUUCGGAAGAACACCAGUGGCGAAGGCGACUGACUGGACAAGUAUUGACGCUGAGGUGCGAAAGCGUGGGGAGCAAACAGGAUUAGAUACCCGAGUAGUCC